GGGCCCGUAGUCUAAUGGUAGAAUAGACCCUUGGCUAGGGUCAGGUUCGGGUUCGACUCCCGACGGGUCCA
This 71-nucleotide transfer RNA is filed under the name Nanobdellota archaeon. RNAcentral describes it as "tRNA-Ala". It matches the Rfam family "tRNA". Rfam says of the family: Transfer RNA (tRNA) molecules are approximately 80 nucleotides in length. RNAcentral also lists the same sequence under 1 other name. Lineage: Archaea; Nanobdellati; Nanobdellota. The record is from RNAcentral.